GACGCUCCGGCGUUCUGCCCUCCGAAGGCAGGGGUUGCUGGUUCGAUCCCAGCCGGGCGCGCCA
This 64-nucleotide transfer RNA is filed under the name Burkholderia thailandensis 34. Its description in RNAcentral is "tRNA-Arg (CCG) (tRNA-Arg-CCG-2-1)". Lineage: Bacteria; Pseudomonadati; Pseudomonadota; Betaproteobacteria; Burkholderiales; Burkholderiaceae. The record is from RNAcentral.